CUCGUGGCGACCAAUCACCGCUCAGAACGCUUUCCGGCCCUGCAAUCCCGGAGCCAAUCUCUCGCCCCGUUGCCAUCCCCACCUGAAUGUGACCAGUCUCAUCGCCAGACCCUGAAGAUCUUGAAGGGAGCAAAGGUCUAAGCAUCCUGUUCACUGCCGCAGAGCGCUUGCCCCAAGAAUGAUGUGAGGAGCCCAUAAACAAGCUUUACUUCUCCUGCACCACUGAUGGACAGCAUCGUGGCAGCAUGUAUCAAAGUGAAAAAUCCUUACAAUGCUAGGUUUGGAUUAUCCUCCCACUUUAAGUAACUAAAAAUUUGGAAGUGACGGUCUUCAGAAGCACUACAACUGGCAUGCAGGAUGCUGAUACCUGAGAGAAGGGGGAAAAUGAGGGUCCUCAGUCGACACUGCAAUCCCCCGCAUCGGUAGGCAUCAUCACUGCCCUUCAACCCCUUCGUCCACUCGGUGUAUCUUCCCAGUACUCACUGCCCACAGCAGCCCACUCUGAUUCCUUCUUCCACUUUUCAGCCCCAGCAGAGCCCCAUCUGGAAUAGAUGUCUCCACGGCCUAGCCCGAACACUGGCACUGGUUCUGGCAUUGGGUUCUGACAUUUCCCUGAGUGUCGAUCUCAGCUUGUCCUCUUCAUAUCAGCUGUGUGACUGGUUCAUUCCCUUUCUCUCCCUGUUCCUCCGUCUUCUCCACUGUGAAAUAGUAUCAAUCCUCACAAGCUUUCACGAAGUGUAAAUGAGAUGAUCCCAAUAAGAGUUUUCGCA
Balaenoptera acutorostrata (minke whale) is the source of this 770-nucleotide long non-coding RNA. RefSeq lists it as uncharacterized. Lineage: Eukaryota; Metazoa; Chordata; Mammalia; Artiodactyla; Balaenopteridae. The record is from RefSeq and is a predicted model, not a curated record. The transcript has 4 exons.